GGUGGCUCAGUGGUAGAGCACCUGCCUUGCAUGCAUGAGGCCCUGAGUUUGAUUCCUCAGCACCA
Molecule: transfer RNA, 65 nt
Filed under: Dipodomys ordii (Ord's kangaroo rat)
Lineage: Eukaryota; Metazoa; Chordata; Mammalia; Rodentia; Heteromyidae
Rfam family: tRNA
About the family: Transfer RNA (tRNA) molecules are approximately 80 nucleotides in length. Their secondary structure includes four short double-helical elements and three loops (D, anti-codon, and T loops). Further hydrogen bonds mediate the characteristic L-shaped molecular structure. tRNAs have two regions of fundamental functional importance: the anti-codon, which is responsible for specific mRNA codon recognition, and the 3' end, to which the tRNAs corresponding amino acid is attached (by aminoacyl-tRNA synthetases). tRNAs cope with the degeneracy of the genetic code in two manners: having more than one tRNA (with a specific anti-codon) for a particular amino acid; and 'wobble' base-pairing, i.e. permitting non-standard base-pairing at the 3rd anti-codon position.
Source: Rfam by way of RNAcentral